GCUCCAAUAACACAACUGGUUAGUGUAUCGGUCUUAUGAAAAUUGAAUUUUCAUGCAAGUGAGCCGAAAAUCCGAGUUCGAUCCUCGGUUGGAGCA
RNAcentral lists this transfer RNA (96 nucleotides) under Yellowstone lake phycodnavirus 3. It matches the Rfam family "tRNA". From Rfam's summary of the family: Transfer RNA (tRNA) molecules are approximately 80 nucleotides in length. Their secondary structure includes four short double-helical elements and three loops (D, anti-codon, and T loops). Lineage: Varidnaviria; Bamfordvirae; Nucleocytoviricota; Megaviricetes; Algavirales; Phycodnaviridae. The record is from Rfam by way of RNAcentral.